RNAcentral lists this long non-coding RNA (450 nucleotides) under Pongo abelii (Sumatran orangutan). RNAcentral's name for it is "lincRNA". The record is from RNAcentral. Lineage: Eukaryota; Metazoa; Chordata; Mammalia; Primates; Hominidae.
GGAAGAUGGAAGCUGAGGAAUGAUGAAGACAAUGGAAUCAAAGGCAAUUGAUCCCGCCACAUUCGAAGAACCACAAAAGGAGGCUGAGUGAGCUGAAAGAAAUACACAAGUGGAUCAGCAACAUGACAGCUGCUGCAGUGAAAUCUGGAUUGUAAUAUGUCAGUUUCCAACCCAUCACAUAUAAUCCAGACAGAGACAUAGAUUUUGUCUGCCUCGUUAUGAUUUCCCUGUCUGGUGCGGUUUGGGUCACAUCUGUUGGCUGCAUUCUCAUCUUCAUGAGAUCUGCAUUGACUGAUAGUUUAAACCCCAUGUUUAUCUAUGUCUGCGGCUCUUAUUUCUCUCACAGGGAAGUCUCCAGAGAAGCCCAGUAUCCCCUGAUGUGAGAGUCUUGCUUGGUUUUAUUAAUCAACAGCCAGUGCCCACAUUCAGGCAGUUCUGUAUGUUUCAUGC